Molecule: ribosomal RNA, 253 nt
Filed under: uncultured bacterium
Lineage: Bacteria
Description: partial 16S ribosomal RNA
Rfam family: Bacterial small subunit ribosomal RNA
Source: RNAcentral
UACGUAGGGGGCAAGCGUUGUCCGGAUUUAUUGGGCGUAAAGGGCACGCAGGCGGUCUUGUCAGUUUCGUGUGACAGGUGGGGGCUUAACUCCCGCAGGCCUUGGAAAACUGCAAGACUUGAGGACGAGAGAGGGAUGCGGAAUUCCUGGUGUAGCGGUGAAAUGCGCAGAUAUCAGGAGGAACACCGGUGGCGAAGGCGGAUCUCUGGGCCGAUACUGACGCUGAGGAGCGAAAGCGUGGGGAGCGAACAGG